UGUUCUUUUUUGUAACUGCUUAAUUUGUUUGUUUAUCUUAGAUACGUAAUCAUGUCCAUUUGAUUUUCAUCUUAUAUAUGAUUUUAGCAACAUUACCCUUUAUUCAUUCAUAUUUGCCAUUUUUCAAAACCAAUUUUCUGUCUUAAAUGCUCUGCCCAAAUGUUAGGCUCCUUAUAAAACCAUGAAUUGCAUUGAAAAUGCUCUACUCAACAUCUCUAGUCAGUUGUCCAUGCUCCCACGUUCUCUAAUAAUUAGUGCUGCCAAUAAUAUGUUGAUCCCUUCAUAUGAUUCCCUAUCAACUUGAUUUCAUUCACAUGAGUACCCAAUUUGUCUGGACAUUUCUCUAUAAAUGAACAAUUAUGUCUUAAAUGUUCAGUUAAGAUGAGUACUGCCAGUAAUAUCCCAUGUUCAGUAAAAAUGAGUACUAUUAUUUGUUUUCCCGUUCAUGCCAUUAAUAAAUCUUGAGCACAUGGUGCCUGAAAUUCAGUCACAUUGCUCUCUGCUACAUCUCCCCCUGUACCCUGCAUCACCAUUAUUAACUACACCCUCUCCUUGCUCCUCCUUCAUCAGUCCACUCCUUCAGUUCUUCUUCCUGCACCACCGCCAACGGCUCCACCAACAGCAGCUUUCCUCGCCACUCGAAGUGCUUCUCCACCAAUGUAAGAUGGCGUCCCUGAUCCAUGGCUCAUCCAGCCGUUCUGCCGACCAAGUCAUUGAACAAGCUUAUGAAAAAGAGGCAAAAUAAAUGUCAUGUUCUUAAGUGUACAAAAAGCACAACUAUCAUUUAAUAAUGUUCCCACCACACCAUGUAUCUGUUGCUUGUAUUCCGGUAGUAUGUGGCCAUAAAGAUGUUUUUGAGAAAUUAAUGUGAAGAUCUGACUAUAGUAAAGAAUGGGGAUGAUAUCAGGGUGUACAACAGCUCAGAGCCACAAAUCUUCAUCCUGUAGGCGGCCUGCUAUAUCAACCCUCCUCUAUAGUGCAGGAAAAAUACUUAGAAAGAAAAAACAUUUGCACCCUAUUUGAUGAAACUGCUUAUCACAACAACUUCGGGCAAACAUGGCAUAGUAAUCGAGGAACUAGCAGCCGGAUGAAGCAAUUUAUACUAAAAUGUUAUACUUAUUUAAACUAAGUUUGCCAUACUAUAGUUUUAGUUAGUGUAAUUUUUCAAUACUUAGCUAUUAUAGUUAACCACAUAAUUGUGUUCCCACAUAAUUGUUAUAGUGUUUUUGUUAUACAUUUGUAGUGUAUGCUAAUGGAAAA
Long non-coding RNA from Triticum aestivum (bread wheat), 1260 nucleotides. RefSeq lists it as uncharacterized. NCBI's taxonomy places the organism in Eukaryota, Viridiplantae, Streptophyta, Magnoliopsida, Poales, Poaceae. The record is from RefSeq and is a predicted model, not a curated record. The transcript has 2 exons.